GAAAGACUCCUCAAGGAAUCAAUCCUUAGAGACUUUCCUGACCUUGUAGGGAGAUGGACUCUGAUUAGCUAAUGGAUUCUCUUCACCCAGGUCUUCAAAAUGAUCUGCUCGUUUAUCCAGGAGGAAAAGAGAAAGAUACACUCCAAGCACUGGCUGAAGGCUAUUAAGCUGUGACAGGUGCCAUGGUGAUGAAUUGGGCUGGGGGGGUGUAUGUGUGUGAAAGAAGGAUCUCCUGGAAACAGACACAGCAUCAUGAAGGAGAGAGGGGGAAUCUAUUAAAAAGCCUCCCUUAAGAUCCCUACACACUGAGCGACCCACCGGACUUGGACUGGAGGUGCAAAGACCAGAGGCUGCUGCUCUCUCUGUAUCUGCAGGAAGAGCUUUGUCUAGUUACCGAGAGGGCUGGGGAGAGCAGGGCUUGGAGAAGGGAGGAGAGAUCCCCCUGUGGAGGGCUCUGAGAGAGGCGGGGCGGGGGCAUUUACCCUGACCAGCCUGCAAGCCCCAGAAGGAAACCAGAGAAAGGGAGGCAUUUCUGAAGCAGCAGGCGCAGGACACCCGGCUGCCGUGGGGAUCCCAGAAGCAGCCGCCAGCCCAGCCAACCCCUCUCCCCACCCCCAGAUCUUUAAAAGCGGGGGUGGGAGGUUAAAGACAAAGAAGCAAAGGGAUCCAGAGCAAAGGGAGUGCAGGUAAGAGCCGCUCCUUCACCCAUUCCUCUGCUCCCCCAUGCCCGGGGGAUCCCCGCCACUAAGCGAGCGAGCCCCCCUUACUCGGGAAGGAGCCGGGCUUUCCCGAUCCCAUACUGGGGGGGUUCGCUCUCUGCUCGGACAACUUUGCAGCCAGCUCCAUCGCGCACCUGUAACUUCCUCCCCUUAGCACGGAGCACCCGGGGCCUGGGAGACUCCAGCUGAUGGCUGGGGGCCGUGGACACUGGGAUGUCACCCCCUGCCCCCUUUUGCUGAGUAUUCCUCUCCCUGGUGUUCCCAGCCCCCAAGCCCCCGGGAGGGACCCAGGCGACCAGCGCUUUGCAGCGAUCUCCCGUUCACACAGGACUUUUCCCACGCGGAUCCUGGCACAGCUCAGAGUCGUCGUCGUCUUUUUUUUCUGUUUUUGCAGCGUGUUACCCACCUCCAUCCCCGCCGCUCCAGCAGGUAGGCAGCUGCUCCCCCUGGCCUGCCCCCUGUCUGCGUGGAUUGCCGUGGGGCGGUAGGGGGCUAAGCUUCCAGCUGCUUCCCUUCCACACCCGUUUUAAAGCCUGUAAAAAGGGGUGGGGAGAAGGGAGGCGAAGAUCUGGUCCCCGUUUAGCUGGCUUCGGAGGGAGAAGAGGCGGCUGGAUCAGCUGGGAAGCGGGGCCGGUUUAUUUCAGACCUGGAUCUUACCAAGAAGAAUCCACGGACAUGCAGACGUUCCUUCCAGCAAUACAAGUUCUUUUCCCAACCAUACUGGGACACAGUCAGAACUGGCAUACUGCAGGGAAGAGUACCAUUCACAGAAGCAUCAACUCUACUUUCUGCAGAAGAAUCAGAACAAACUAUUUCCUACUAUUACUGAGAACAGAAGGAACUUACACUAUGGCCCACUGUGAAUGUAGUGGAUGAAAGAGAAAUAACCUGCUGAGUUGACCGCAAGGUUCGUAAUGUAAAUUCUUCUGCAUUUCUACACUGUCUGCGUUGCACCUCAUUACCCUUGUAGUGGCUGCUUCACAAACUAGCAAGAGAUAGAGUAAUAAAAAACAUCAAUAUGAGUCA
Long non-coding RNA from Gopherus agassizii (Agassiz's desert tortoise), 1745 nucleotides. NCBI's taxonomy places the organism in Eukaryota, Metazoa, Chordata, Testudines, Testudinidae. The record is from Ensembl.